This is a long non-coding RNA of Momordica charantia (bitter melon), 831 nucleotides long. RefSeq lists it as uncharacterized. The record is from RefSeq and is a predicted model, not a curated record. Lineage: Eukaryota; Viridiplantae; Streptophyta; Magnoliopsida; Cucurbitales; Cucurbitaceae.
GGCCACAAAGCCAGAGGGGAAAAGAAGAUGUGCAGAAAUUGGAAAAACCCGAUUGAAACCCACAUUUAGCCAAAGAAUGUGCUGGGCGGUUUAAAGCACGAGGGACAUAAUUGAAGGAGCAAAAAUCAAGAAGACCAGCUCGCUGCAAGAUGUCGUGGACCCAGACGCUUGAGGCUGCCAAAGAUUUCGACUUUUGUUGAAAAAGAGAAAUUGCUUGAAGGGAAUCCGAUUCCACCAUAAUUUUCCUGCAAUUAAGAGUUUGAGCCUGCUCCAAUCCUUGUAUAAUCGCGAGAAGCUCCUAAAAGUGGCGGAAGAUAGAAUGGGUGGAAGAAGGAUCCCGUUGCACAAAUUGUACCAGAAGAGUCCCGAAAAAUAAAACACACGCCGGUACCUUGAAUCGUCUCCUUGCAUGUGGCAUCCGUGUUUAGCUUCAGGCUAUCAACAGUCGGAGGAACCCAUGACAGAUGAGGACUGUCACGCAAGACAACUAAAGUGGGCAAGCUCUGAACUUCUCGAAAGGAGUUUGCAUAAGAGAUUGACCAACAUGUGAUGGCCGCAAGCUCCUUCUCACCAUUGGAGAAAUUGUUAUGAAUAUGAUCCUAGAAAUCCGAGAAGGCCAGAUGAUGAUGAUGAAGAAAUUGACACCAAGGGAAUAAAGUUUGCCAAAUUUGAUGAGCCCGUUCGCACAGAAAAAUAGCAUGACCCGAGGUUUCAACAUACUUCCUACAACACGGACAAAAGGAAAAUGAAGAAUGCAGUAAUGUAACUGUAGUAAAGUUACCUUAGAUGGAGAUCUUCCCCAGUUGCAAAGGUGAAGGGCGUUUCAAUGAA